GCCAACGCUGACUUGAGGAGGGAGCUCGGCGAAGCGCAGGCCGCCCUUCGUACCAAGGAUGCUGAGUACGCUGCCUUGGUCCAGGAGCGUGACUGCCUGGCCAAGAAGCUGGCUGACCAGGAGGAGAGCCACAAGGCGGCCCUGCAGGAAGCGCAGGAUAGCGAGGCCGCCCUGAAGGCAGAGUUUGAGACCGAGGCGGCGAGCUGGGCUGAGACCCGGCGAGCGCUGGAUGAAGGCUUCGGCCGCAUCGAGGACUUGAUCGACGACUACUUUCCCGGCUACUCCGCCUUCGCCGCCCAA
This 300-nucleotide ribosomal RNA is filed under the name Triticum aestivum (bread wheat). RNAcentral describes it as "partial small subunit ribosomal RNA". Lineage: Eukaryota; Viridiplantae; Streptophyta; Magnoliopsida; Poales; Poaceae. The record is from RNAcentral.